This 576-nucleotide ribosomal RNA is filed under the name uncultured bacterium. Its description in RNAcentral is "bacterial SSU rRNA". It matches the Rfam family "Bacterial small subunit ribosomal RNA", at positions 338 to 907 of the family's 1533-position model. The record is from RNAcentral.
CCUACGGGAGGCAGCAGUAGGGAAUCUUCGGCAAUGGACGGAAGUCUGACCGAGCAACGCCGCGUGAGUGAAGAAGGUUUUCGGAUCGUAAAGCUCUGUUGUAAGAGAAGAACGAGUGUGAGAGUGGAAAGUUCACACUGUGACGGUAUCUUACCAGAAAGGGACGGCUAACUACGUGCCAGCAGCCGCGGUAAUACGUAGGUCCCGAGCGUUGUCCGGAUUUAUUGGGCGUAAAGCGAGCGCAGGCGGUUAGAUAAGUCUGAAGUUAAAGGCUGUGGCUUAACCAUAGUACGCUUUGGAAACUGUUUAACUUGAGUGCAAGAGGGGAGAGUGGAAUUCCUAGUGUAGCGGUGAAAUGCGUAGAGAUUAGGAGGAACACCAGUGGCGAAGGCGGCUUUUUGGCCUGUAACUGACACUGAGGCGCGAAAGCGUGGGGAGCAAACAGGAUUAGAUACCCUGGUAGUCCACGCCGUAAACGAUGAGUGCUAAGUGUUGGUCUCAUAAGAGAUCAGUGCUGCAGCUAACGCAUUAAGCACUCCGCCUGGGGAGUACGCACGCAAGUGUGAAACUCAAAGG